RNAcentral lists this unclassified non-coding RNA (253 nucleotides) under uncultured Pseudomonadaceae bacterium. Its description in RNAcentral is "contains 16S-23S intergenic spacer region". It matches the Rfam family "Bacterial small subunit ribosomal RNA", at positions 524 to 776 of the family's 1533-position model. The record is from RNAcentral. Lineage: Bacteria; Pseudomonadati; Pseudomonadota; Gammaproteobacteria; Pseudomonadales; Pseudomonadaceae.
UACAGAGGGUGCAAGCGUUAAUCGGCAUUACUGGGCGUAAAGCGCGCGUAGGUGGUUUGUUAAGCCGGCUGUGAAAGCCCCGGGCUCCACCUGGGAACUGCAUCCAAAACUGGCAAGCUAGAGUACGGUAGAGGGUGGUGGAACUUCCUGUGCAGCGUUGAAAUGCGUAGAUAUAGGAAGGAACACCAGUGGCGAAGGCGACCACCUGGACUGAUACUGACACUGAGGUGCGAAAGCGUGGGGAGCAAACAGG